This 497-nucleotide ribosomal RNA is filed under the name uncultured bacterium. RNAcentral's name for it is "partial 16S ribosomal RNA". It matches the Rfam family "Bacterial small subunit ribosomal RNA", at positions 28 to 507 of the family's 1533-position model. The record is from RNAcentral.
GAUGAACGCUGGCGGCGUGCCUAAUACAUGCAAGUCGAGCGAACAGACGAGGAGCUUGCUCCUCUGACGUUAGCGGCGGACGGGUGAGUAACACGUGGAUAACCUACCUAUAAGACUGGGAUAACUUCGGGAAACCGGAGCUAAUACCGGAUAAUAUAUUGAACCGCAUGGUUCAAUAGUGAAAGACGGUUUUGCUGUCACUUAUAGAUGGAUCCGCGCCGCAUUAGCUAGUUGGUAAGGUAACGGCUUACCAAGGCAACGAUGCGUAGCCGACCUGAGAGGGUGAUCGGCCACACUGGAACUGAGACACGGGCCAGACUCCUACGGGAGGCAGCAGUAGGGAAUCGUCCGCAAUGGGCGAAAGCCUGACGGAGCAACGCCGCGUGAAUGAUGAAGGUCGUCGGAUCGUAAAACUCUGUUAUUAGUGAAGAACAAAUGUGUAAGUAACUAUGCACGUCUUGACGGUACCUAAUCAGAAAGCCACGGCUAACUACGUG